AUGGCCGAGAUAGCCAUGUCUUUGUUGAGGUCCCGAACCUCAAGCGUGGCUGCGUUGAAUCGCAUCACAAAGUGUCGUAGAGUCUCAUUUUCUCUCUGCUUGAGGGAGAAAAGACUGUCCGAGGUUCGUGGCGGCUUCCGACUGGUGCUGAAAUGGACCACGAAGGAAUGUUCGAGCUGUCCGAAGGAGUGGAUACUUCCCGAAUGGAGGUCGGAGUACCAGGCCCUGGCAGCUUUGCGGAGUGUGGCGGGGAAGCCGAUGCAAAGAAGAGCGUCGGUUGCCCCCUGAAUUGUCAUGAGAGCCUUGUAGCUCUCC
This 315-nucleotide long non-coding RNA is filed under the name Elaeis guineensis (African oil palm). Its description in RNAcentral is "long non-coding RNA (EGUI_LNC000430)". The record is from RNAcentral. Lineage: Eukaryota; Viridiplantae; Streptophyta; Magnoliopsida; Arecales; Arecaceae.